Non-coding RNA from Poecilia reticulata (guppy), 357 nucleotides. The record is from RefSeq and is a predicted model, not a curated record. Lineage: Eukaryota; Metazoa; Chordata; Actinopteri; Cyprinodontiformes; Poeciliidae.
AUUUGUUCUACCUUGGCUGAACAGGAAGUGGACAUACCGUCGGUAUUACAAGACAGGAAAAAAAGAGACCUCAUCAGCAAACAAUACCAGCAGCAGCAUUAACAGGGACCUGUUGAUGUACAUGCUGAUACGUUGUUUUAUAAGCGUCAUAUUCCUCGCCUUGUUUUACGGGUUUACCACCAUUAUUGCUCCUUUGACGAUGGAACCUCCGGUUUCUUCGCCCACCACCAUAAUUGCAGUUUCAGUCCCAGAACGUGAAGAUGAGGAAAGACAAAUACAUGAAGCGAAGGACCUACAGAASAAGAUGGACUACCUUUUUCCAUUGGCAGAUAUGAUGGCAAACUUCGCUUUGAAGYC